GUCCCUGUAGCGCAAUGGUUUGCUCGUUGGACUUCAAAUCCAGAUGUCGUGGGCUCGAAUUCCACCUGGUAUG
Non-coding RNA from Trichonephila inaurata madagascariensis, 73 nucleotides. NCBI's taxonomy places the organism in Eukaryota, Metazoa, Arthropoda, Arachnida, Araneae, Nephilidae. The record is from the annotation of a GenBank genome assembly.